AGCCCGCCGGGCUAGCGUUAGCCCUGCCAGCCCGGCGGCUAGCGGGGCUAACGCUAGCCCGGCGGCUAGCAUCCUUCGGAUUGGAAUGUUUCACCGCACUCAAUGUUUUAUGGACCAAACAGCGUUGCUGCAACACGUUGUUGCUUCAGACUGAACACGGACGGCUGUGUGACCGACGAGGACGUUUUCCUGCAGCUUCCUCUGAGGUUUCACCUCAGAUCCAAUAAGAGGGAGAGUCACAGCUGUGUGUUGGGCUCCAUUUGUUCAGCGGCCAGAAGACGAUCCAUCACGCGACGACCGCCGGUCACAUGACAGCAGCCAGACGACCACGGAGGGACGAGACCAAAGAACUACAGACUCUUCACAACCUACUCAAACUCUUGGUACAGGACCUCACCACACGGGUCAAGAAGGUUUCCUUCUCCUCAUUUCUACUCUGAAGCUCACCUUCUCCUGCUCAAACUGCUGACAAAUGUUUGUGCUGCUCUGAAGUCUGGUCUCCAGAACUUCCUAAAAACUCUCAAAGUCUCUUCUGCUGCAGGUUGCUUUGUAGAACUGUUCCAGAAAACCUCACUAAACCACAUGGAGGGGCCUCAAGAUAGUCGUCCAAAUGAAACCAUACAAAAACCAAACUAACACAACCCAAACACUAAAGUCUCCUGCAGCCUACCAGAGAAGCUCUGAGAACAGAGAAUCAGGACAGGAACUCUUACCUUCUGGACAACCAACGCUGGUUCUCAAACAAGAACACAGAAUGUGUCUGACCAAAAACCUCUAAAGACUCACUACAGCCAAGAUAAAGACACAACUCAGCUGCAGCAAAUCCAUUAAUCACUGCACACAUUAGCACCAUGUGCCAACUGUGGCUAAAGAGCCACAUUUACCAAGACAACUAUCCAGUACAAAGCCCUAAAACACACCAAGAAACACAUUAAAGACGAUUUUACUGCUGGAAGCUGGAAGCCAACGCCUAAAGAACAAACUAAAGCAAUGGAGCCAAACCUGGUUCACUGGUGAAGAGAAACAGAGGAAAUGUUUGGCUGCAGCUAAAUAAACGAGGAAAACACUGAGCUGCUCAGGUGUUCCUGAUAACACCAAGCAAACACCUGGACAGCCAAUAGGAACACAGCUUACUGGAAGUCCAGAGGGCUGGCUUAGUGAAGGAAAUUUAAUUUAAAGUUGAAGCAGAAAGUUAACAAAGAAAGUUGAAAACCACCUUCUGAUACCUGAAAUCUCUGAGUUUUCACACAAAGAACACCUGAAGAUGUCAAACUGGUUCCAUAGUAGAACCCUCAUUGUAAAAACAUCAUAGUAUGGUGUGUUGCUCAAAAACAUUACAACCUGGCUGUGUAGGGUCGCCGAGGAGCAACACAAAAACAGGACAAACGCUGGUUUCCAGGGGGUUAGGAGGCUAUUUAUUUGAAAGAGGAAGUUUACAACAACACAACAUGUGAGCAGAAAAAUCACAAAGUCUGUCUUUAGUUCAGCUGAAAAUAUUAGUUUUUGUCUUUUUUAUUGACCAAACUUUUCAGGAAGUAGAUGAAGAAUAAUUAAAGCUCUCAUGUAGAAGUCCAACUUAUUUUGGAUCCUUGUGGAGAGUUUAAUCUUAGAGUUUGUAAAGCUGUUGAGUUCUUAGAGUCACAUGGAUUGUUUUGACAUUUAAUAACCGAGUCCUGAAAUCAAAUUGUUACAGUUGUGGAUUUCUGUCAUUUAGUCUGGACUAAACAAAUAACAGCAGCAUUAAUCUCAAACGUCAUUAUGAGGAGUCUGGAUUGAAGUUUCUCACUUGAUAAUGAUCAAAACAUGAAAUUUAGGUUUAAAGGAAUAUUCCACCUUAAAUCUUUGAAUGUUGACCUACAAGGUUGGUUUCAGGAAGUAUUCCACCUACAAGGUCCUCACACAUCCACCUUAAAGGAACAUUCCACCAAAAAUCCUUAGACAUGCACCUAAAAUGUUGGUUUAAUUGAGUAUUCCAUCCAAAAUCCUCAAAGAGACCUGAGGGGCUGGUUAAAAGAAAUAUUCCACCUAAAACCUCAAAUAUAGACCCGGAAGGGUGGUUUAGAGAAAAUCCUUCAACGUAGUCCAAAAAAGUUAGUAUGGAGGAAUAUUCCACCUGAAAUGUAGACCUUAGAAGUUGGUUUGGAAGAAUAUACCAUCCUAAACAUCCUUAAAUGUAGACUAAAAGACGGUUUGGAAGAAAAUUCCAUCUAAAAUCCUCCAAUGUAGACCUAAAAGGUGAGUUUAAUGGUAUAUUCCCCCUAAAAUGCACUACUGUAGACCUUGGAGGUUGGUCUGAUGGUAUAUUCCACCCAACAUCCUGGAACAUUAACUUAAAAAGUUUGUUCAAAGGAAUAUUCAACCUAAAGUCCUUCGAUGUAGACCAAAAAAAUCUUGGUGUUAAGGAGUAUUCCACCUUAAAUGUAGACCCAAAGGAUGGUUUGGAGUAAUAUUCUACUCUAAAAUCUUCCAAUGUAGACCUAAAAGGUUUAUCUGAUGGUAUAUUCUACCCAACAUCCUGGAAUAUUUACCUAAAAUGUUGGUUUAAUGGUAUAUUCCCAGAAAAACCCUUGAACAUUAGGCUUAAUGGUAUAUUCCACCCAAAAUACUUGUACAUAUACCAAGAAGUCAGUGUAAAGGAAACGUAGACCUAAAAGGAUUGUUUAAAGGAAUAUUUAAAGGAUUAUUUUCAUUAUUUAAUAAUCUGUUAUCAGUCAGAACCCUGGCAAACUUAUUUUCUUCAGUUUUUUUAGUGGAAGUCACAAAUAAAGGAGCUCUUGGUUUUUCCCGGCGUUACUGAGUCCAAAGCUGCUGUUUCAACACAGAACGUUCACAUGGAUCCACAAACCUCUCAGCACUCAAACACCCACAGACAGGAGGCCGGCUGGGCCGAGGCUCGGCGGCGUCCUCAGACCCACAAGUCGGGGAGUCGCUGAACUUGUUGGUCCGGUUUGAAGGCCUCCGUGUGGUCCAGUAGAAGUCCACGUAGUCGGUGUUGGCUUUGAACCACAGUGACUGGCCGCCAUCAGGUGGACCGGCUCGUCCUCGUAGGACUCCUCCUGUAGCCUUGAGGGAACCACAGGAACAUUCAGUAGCUGUUGGAGUUCUUCCUGUCAGGCUCGUGGUAGAACGGCUCUGAAGAAUCUUGUACUUGUCUUAUCUGGAACAAUCUAACAGCCUAAACUGUUAACAGCAGUGUAAAGAAGCAAACACAGGCAUAGAUUAGGACUCAAACUAGAUUUAUUUUAGAAAACAAAUCAACUUAGAGGCAUUUGUUCACACACGUGGCUGAAUAGGAGGCCGUCCAAUCAGAUUCGAGGUCUUCACUCUGUAGGUUGUUUGUUCAGUGAGACUCUUGGACCUCCAUCAGCUGAUAUGGAUGUUUGAUGGUCUUCUUCUCUAGUACCAGAUGAUUCAUCCAUGAAUUCAGCAGCUACAGACUGAAAUGAAGCUCAUGCUGCCGUUAUUGAAUUCCUGUUCCAGAUCAAAUGUUCAGAUCUCACCUUGAAUGCAGCCGUCUGCUGUCUGAUAGCUUUUCUCAUUGUAGUCUUCAAUAAAGUCUUUUUCCUCAUGU
Amphiprion ocellaris (clown anemonefish) is the source of this 3571-nucleotide long non-coding RNA. RefSeq lists it as uncharacterized. The transcript is spliced from 3 exons. Lineage: Eukaryota; Metazoa; Chordata; Actinopteri; Pomacentridae. The record is from RefSeq and is a predicted model, not a curated record.